RNAcentral lists this long non-coding RNA (2641 nucleotides) under Bemisia tabaci. RNAcentral's name for it is "lncRNA ENSSSA2NGG005051". The record is from RNAcentral. Lineage: Eukaryota; Metazoa; Arthropoda; Insecta; Hemiptera; Aleyrodidae.
UUCUGAUUAUUCUCCGUAAGCCACCAUGAUGACAAUGGUGAGGGGGUUGGGUUCACUUCACACUUGGUUCACACUUUUCGGAGCACAAGCGGCUCGGAAAGGCCCGUUCACGGAUUGACUUCAUCGGCGCUCCAGUACAUUGCGACUCUAUUGUACUCUAUGAUUUCAAAUCGCGCGGUAAAAGCCCGUACCCUCUGCACGUCACACAUCUUCAAGAUGGCAGCCAAAUUGAGAUGCGACCACCAUGCACCAUUCUUUAUCCGCCUUGUUUACAAGUAUGUACUUUUCUCUUUGGUAUGUACAAACAACAAGUUGUUUUGAUUCCAUGUACUCUGUGACCACGUGCGACUCAAUCCUUUUUGUGAUCCUGACGACUUUUUUUCUCUGAUUUUUAUUAAUUUAUUCUCAAAUCCGGUACGUGCUAUCCCUCCCUAUCCAUCAGAUAGUAUUAUAUUCUUAUAUACUUAAUAAACUUUGUCGAGUGCACCCAAUUGGACCGCCCCACUGAAUGACCAAUAAUCCGUUAGGCCUUGUUGGCGUACAUAUUUCUGUAUCUAUGGACACAGUCGAUAAGGUCCUGCUGUUCCUUUCACUCAUCGUUGACCGGGUGCUGGAUGUUGUAAGGGAAAGCGGCUGCUUAAACGACGACUCUGAGUCCGAGCAAGGAGAGUGCGAGUACGCUCCAAUAGAAUACAAUCGGGUGAGAAAGAAAUUCAUGUUGCAUGUUCAAUUCUUGUGUUCAAAUGUGUUACAUAAAAAAAAUUUCAUGUUACCACAACUUAUGUUCUCUUGAAUAACAUUCAUUUCCAUGACAUUUUGCAUGAUUCCACUCAAGUUUUCCGUGUUUUCCCCCAUAAAUGUUGUGCUCUUGCUAGUAUGUAGUGAGCCAAUGCAAUUAGGAGCCCUUCGCCAAGAAAAACCCUUGCAUCUUCCAAAACUGUUCAUUAAAAUAUCGAGGCUCUCCAUAGGCUUCAUUUGGCCUUUUUCCAUUUCCAUAUGCAAGUAAUUGCCGCAAUAAGUUCCUGAAAUUCAACCAUAGUUUGUUUUUUCUGAUUUUUUGGCAAGAUAUUUUUCCUGAAUCCUCUUCUUCCUCUUCUCUUCUUCUUCUUCUUCUUCUUCUUCUUCUUCUUCUUCUGCUUCUUCAUCAUCAUCAUCAUCAUCAUCUUCUUCGUCUUCUUCUUCUUCCUCCUCCUCCUCUUAACUUUUAUGUGUUUUCGUUCAUGUUAUAGGACGAUUCCGAGUGUGAGCAUGAAGAAUGGGAAAACCUUGAAAUAGAUUAAGAUCAGGUGAGAAGAAAAUUCAUGUUGCAGCAUGUUCCUUUCUUGUGUUCAAGUAUGUUACAUCAAAAAAAUAUUAUGUUUCCGUAACUUACGUUCUCUUGGAGACCUUUCAUCUACACACAUUUGUUUUUUUUUACACAUGAUUCCACUCAAGUUUUCCGUGUUUGCCUAUAAUUGUUGCGCUCAUGCUAAUGUAUACGUAGCCCGUAACCUUAGCACAAGGGUUUCUCGUACUAAAGAUAAGACCGCGCUUGAAAGGGUCACACAGGUCAAAGGGUUUUGUUUGAGAUAAAACAGAAUGAUUCCAGGAGAUUCGAAUUUUGCCGCCCUCUGAAAGCAGUGAAAAGACCAAUAAAAUGAAAGAAUAUUAGUUGCGGAGUUUUUUUUCUUUUUUUCUGUUGAACUGUCAAGUAAAUCGAGUGACGAAAUCGUUAUACAGGGUGAUCCAGACCAGCCGUCCACUAUCGUAUUCUCGAAAACGGCGGAGAAUUGAGCUUCGGGACUAAAACUAUCAUUGGGUAAAUCGACCCCAAAGAAUCGAAUGAAAAUAUUUCAGCCCCCCAAAAUGGUCCCUUUGGCGGGGGGGACCACCACUUCCAACAAAACUGACACGGUUCCGGUACCAACCUAAAAAAUUUCGGGAAAAAAGUCGGGUGCGGCCUUUUCCCCGUGCGGCCUUUUACCCCCACCUACCCUAAAUAGAGCAGCUCUCAAGCAUCUAAGUAUACUCAAAGAUCAAGGUUUUAAGGAAGCAGGGUCCAAGAAAAACAUUUCCAAUGAAUUUUUCCUUUGAAUUCCAUCAUUUUGAGACCAAUUUCAAAAAAACUUGUACAAUGUAGCUUUACAAAACCCUGCCUCUCUAAGCUGGAAGUAAUGAUGACCUUGAGCACAAGGCUCAUAGUGUGAUGAGGUAACUGGUUUUUUAUUAACAGUUUUUUCAUUCACACCUCUCUCAAAUCUUGAACUCAUGAAUUUUUGCUGGCUUAGCUCUUGUCAAAUGAACUUCAACUACUAUUUAUUGUGGUGCCCUUUUAUUUUCUUACCGAUUUGAUUUGGCUUCUGGCUCAAAAAAUGUUGAUUCGUCCCUUUUCUGCCACUUUUUUCUCCUCUCUGGAAACCAUGUAGCGUAGCUAAUGCACUGGCAUAAGUGCUCUCUUUUUUUAUUGGAAAAUAGAGGUGGUGGUACCAUGAAAAGAACUUCGUGGAUAAAAAUCAUUGGAUAGCUUUAAUAGAACAAGGCGAGGAAGAAAUAUUUUUUGGAAGUUGACAUAAUGGCCUCAUUUAAGAGUUCAUAAUUUUGUAGUCUGCAGAAGCUCUUGAAAAAAACGCAAUUUCCACAUACAUCAAUUUACUUCAGAUGU